AUUGAACGCUGGCGGCAGGCCUAACACAUGCAAGUCGAACGGUAGCACAGAGAGCUUGCUCUCGGGUGACGGGUGGCGGACGGGUGAGUAAUGUCUGGGAAACUGCCCGAUGGAGGGGGAUAACUACCGGAAACGGUAGCUAAUACCGCACAACGUCGCAAGACCAAAGUGGGGGACCUUCGGGCCUCACACCAUCGGAUGUGCCCAGAUGGGAUUAGCUAGUAGGUGGGGUAAUGGCUCACCUAGGCGACGAUCCCUAGCUGGUCUGAGAGGAUGACCAGCCACACUGGAACUGAGACACGGUCCAGACUCCUACGGGAGGCAGCAGUGGGGAAUAUUGCACAAUGGGCGCAAGCCUGAUGCAGCCAUGCCGCGUGUAUGAAGAAGGCCUUCGGGUUGUAAAGUACUUUCAGCGGGGAGGAAGGCGGUGAAGUUAAUAACUUCACCGAUUGACGUUACCCGCAGAAGAAGCACCGGCUAACUCCGUGCCAGCCGCCGCCGUAA
This 504-nucleotide ribosomal RNA is filed under the name uncultured bacterium. RNAcentral describes it as "partial 16S ribosomal RNA". It matches the Rfam family "Bacterial small subunit ribosomal RNA", at positions 30 to 523 of the family's 1533-position model. The record is from RNAcentral.